GGUGCCGAAUACUUCAAACCAGUGGUUAGAGUGUCAGACUAAGACCCAGGAGGCCAGGGUUCAAAUCCCGGCUCUGCCA
This is a non-coding RNA of Podarcis lilfordi (Lilford's wall lizard), 79 nucleotides long. The record is from the annotation of a GenBank genome assembly. NCBI's taxonomy places the organism in Eukaryota, Metazoa, Chordata, Lepidosauria, Squamata, Lacertidae.